AUUGAACGCUGGCGGCAGGCCUAACACAUGCAAGUCGAACGAGUGGCGGACGGGUGAGUAAUGUCUGGGAAACUGCCCGAUGGAGGGGGAUAACUACUGGAAACGGUAGCUAAUACCGCAUACCAUCGGAUGUGCCCAGAUGGGAUUAGCUAGUAGGUGGGGUAACGGCUCACCUAGGCGACGAUCCCUAGCUGGUCUGAGAGGAUGACCAGCCACACUGGAACGUGGACACGGUCCAGACUCCUACGGGAGGCAGCAGUGGGGAAUAUUGCACAAUGGGAGCAAGCCUGAUGCAGCCAUGCCGCGUGUAUGAAGAAGGCUUUAGGGUUGUAAAGUACUUUCAGCGAGGAGGCGUUACCCGCAGAAGAAGCACCGGCUAACUCCGUGCCAGCAGCCGCGGUAAUAC
RNAcentral lists this ribosomal RNA (406 nucleotides) under uncultured bacterium. Its description in RNAcentral is "partial 16S ribosomal RNA". It matches the Rfam family "Bacterial small subunit ribosomal RNA", at positions 30 to 526 of the family's 1533-position model. The record is from RNAcentral.